CCUACGGGAGGCAACAGUGGGGAAUAUUGGACAAUGGGCGAAAGCCUGAUCCAGCAAUGCCGCGUGAGUGAUGAAGGCCUUAGGGUUGUAAAGCUCUUUUACCAGGGAUGAUAAUGACAGUACCUGGAGAAUAAGCUCCGGCUAACUCCGUGCCAGCAGCCGCGGUAAUACGGAGGGAGCUAGCGUUGUUCGGAAUUACUGGGCGUAAAGCGUACGUAGGCGGUUAUUCAAGUCAGAGGUGAAAGCCUGGAGCUCAACUCCAGAACUGCCUUUGAAACUAGAUAGCUAGAAUCUUGGAGAGGUGAGUGGAAUUCCGAGUGUAGAGGUGAAAUUCGUAGAUAUUCGGAAGAACACCAAGUGGCGAAGGCGACUCACUGGACAAGUAUUGACGCUGAGGUACGAAAGCGUGGGGAGCAAACAGGAUUAGAUACCCUGGUAGUCCACGCCGUAAACGAUGAUAACUAGCUGUUCGGGCUCUACGAGCUUGAGUGGCGCAGCUAACGCAUUAAGUUAUCCGCCUGGGGAGUACGGUCGCAAGAUUAAAACUUAAAGUAAUAGUUAGACGUGNGAGAGNGACGAGACGACGACGAGGAGGAG
This 597-nucleotide ribosomal RNA is filed under the name uncultured bacterium. Its description in RNAcentral is "bacterial SSU rRNA". It matches the Rfam family "Bacterial small subunit ribosomal RNA", at positions 338 to 961 of the family's 1533-position model. The record is from RNAcentral.